RNAcentral lists this ribosomal RNA (468 nucleotides) under uncultured bacterium. Its description in RNAcentral is "partial 16S ribosomal RNA". It matches the Rfam family "Bacterial small subunit ribosomal RNA", at positions 28 to 507 of the family's 1533-position model. The record is from RNAcentral.
GACGAACGCUGGCGGCGUGCUUAACACAUGCAAGUCGAACGGAAAGGCCCUGCUUUUGUGGGGUGCUCGAGUGGCGAACGGGUGAGUAACACGUGAGUAACCUGCCCUUGACUUUGGGAUAACUUCAGGAAACUGGGGCUAAUACCGGAUAGGAGCUCCUGCUGCAUGGUGGGGGUUGGAACGUUUCGGCGGUUGGGGAUGGACUCGCGGCUUAUCAGCUUGUUGGUGGGGUAGUGGCUUACCAAGGCUUUGACGGGUCGCCGGCCUGAGAGGGUGACCGGCCACAUUGGGACUGAGAUACGGCCCAGACUCCUACGGGAGGCAGCAGUGGGGAAUAUUGCACAAUGGGCGGAAGCCUGAUGCAGCAACGCCGCGUGCGGGAUGACGGCCUUCGGGUUGUAAACCGCUUUCGCCUGUGACGAAGCGUGAGUGACGGUAAUGGGUAAAGAAGCACCGGCUAACUACGUG